RNAcentral lists this ribosomal RNA (301 nucleotides) under uncultured bacterium. Its description in RNAcentral is "partial 16S ribosomal RNA". It matches the Rfam family "Bacterial small subunit ribosomal RNA", at positions 509 to 807 of the family's 1533-position model. The record is from RNAcentral.
CAGUCGCCGCGGUAAUACAGAGGGUGCAAGCGUUAAUCGGAAUUACUGGGCGUAAAGCGUGCGUAGGCGGUUUGUUAAGUCUGCUGUGAAAUCCCCGGGCUCAACCUGGGAAUGGCAGUGGAUACUGGCAAGCUAGAGUGUGUCAGAGGAUGGUGGAAUUCCCGGUGUAGCGGUGAAAUGCGUAGAGAUCGGGAGGAACAUCAGUGGCGAAGGCGGCCAUCUGGGACAACACUGACGCUGAGGCACGAAAGCGUGGGGAGCAAACAGGAUUAGAGACCCCCGUAGUCCCUGUCUCUUAUAC